UACGAAGGGGGCUAGCGUUGUUCGGAUUUACUGGGCGUAAAGCGCACGUAGGCGGAUCGCUAAGUCAGGGGUGAAAUCCUGGAGCUCAACUCCAGAACUGCCUUUGAUACUGGCGAUCUUGAGUCCGGAAGAGGUGAGUGGAACUCCUAGUGUAGAGGUGGAAUUCGUAGAUAUUAGGAAGAACACCAGUGGCGAAGGCGAGUCCCUGGACAACUUCUGACGCUGAGGCACGGAAAAGCUAGG
Molecule: ribosomal RNA, 243 nt
Filed under: uncultured bacterium
Lineage: Bacteria
Description: partial 16S ribosomal RNA
Rfam family: Bacterial small subunit ribosomal RNA
Source: RNAcentral